AUACGUAGGGGACGAGCGUUGUCCGGAAUUACUGGGCGUAAAGGGCGCGCAGGCGGAUAUUUAAGUCAGCUGUAAAAGGCAUGAGCUCAACUCAUGUAUGCGGUUGAAACUGGGUAUCUAGAGUGCUGGAGAGGUAGGCGGAAUUCCCGGUGUAGCGGUGAAAUGCGUAGAUAUCGGGAAGAACACCAGUGGCGAAGGCGGCUUACUGGCCAGCAACUGACGCUGAGGCGCGAAAGCCAGGGGAGCGAACGGGAUUAGAUACCCCAGUAGUCCUGGCCGUAAACGAUGAAUGCUAGGUGUGGGUGUCGAGAGGCAUCCGUGCCGGAGUUAACGCGAUAAGCAUUCCGCCUGGGGAGUACGAUCGCAAGAUUGAAACUCAAAUGAAUUGACGGGG
RNAcentral lists this ribosomal RNA (394 nucleotides) under uncultured bacterium. RNAcentral's name for it is "partial 16S ribosomal RNA". It matches the Rfam family "Bacterial small subunit ribosomal RNA", at positions 523 to 918 of the family's 1533-position model. The record is from RNAcentral.